Arvicanthis niloticus (Nile rat) is the source of this 486-nucleotide non-coding RNA. The record is from RefSeq and is a predicted model, not a curated record. Lineage: Eukaryota; Metazoa; Chordata; Mammalia; Rodentia; Muridae.
CCAGCAAGUGUGUCACCUGAGGAACGCCAGCACAGGGAGUCGGGGUCUUUUUAAAAACUCAUCGAACCCUGGCGUUCACCACGACAGAAAUUUGUUUCCAGUCCCAUGUGCUUGAAAAGCAGUCCCUUGAGUGAGGUGACUUUGGGAGUGGAUCCCAAAUGCAGUCUUAAGCAGGUGAGGAAGAGUGAUUGAAAUGGAAUCUUCCAGUCCAGACAAAUCUCAAGCUGGCUGUGAAAGGCUUCUGAGGUCUCAGAACUUGGUGAGAACUGUAGAAUCACCUCAACCUACCCAGAAAAAGCCAGACUAUUUAACAUACUAUUUAACAUUUAGCUGUUGCCUCUAAAAGUUGAACCCUUUAUAUCUUUUUAAUGGAUUUUUCAUUUCUUGAUAAAUAAUUGAAAUUUGUUAAAAAUUUCAUCAACAAAGUAAAUUCUUAGAACUGUGGAGAGUUCUGAUCACAAACUGGGAAAAUAUGCAUUCUCUCUC